GUAGUCCACGCCGUAAACGAUGAGUACUAGGUGUCGGGUGAAGAACUCGGUGCCGAAGUUAACACAUUAAGUACUCCGCCUGGGGAGUACGCUCGCAAGAGUAAAACUCAAAGGAAUUGACGGGGACCCGCACAAGCAGCGGAGCAUGUGGUUUAAUUCGAAGCAACGCGAAGAACCUUACCUAAACUUGACAUACCAAUGACAGCCUUUUAAUCGAGGACUUUUACCUUCGGGUAGACAAUGGAUACAGGUGGUGCAUGGUUGUCGUCAGCUCGUGUCGUGAGAUGUUGGGUUAAGUCCCGCAACGAGCGCAACCCUUGUCGAUAGUUACCAGCAGUAAGAUGGGGACUCUAUCGAGACAGCUAAGGACAACUUAGA
RNAcentral lists this ribosomal RNA (378 nucleotides) under uncultured bacterium. Its description in RNAcentral is "bacterial SSU rRNA". It matches the Rfam family "Bacterial small subunit ribosomal RNA", at positions 790 to 1167 of the family's 1533-position model. The record is from RNAcentral.